This 915-nucleotide ribosomal RNA is filed under the name Salmonella enterica subsp. enterica serovar Typhi. Its description in RNAcentral is "partial 23S ribosomal RNA". It matches the Rfam family "Bacterial large subunit ribosomal RNA", at positions 1 to 857 of the family's 2925-position model. The record is from RNAcentral. Lineage: Bacteria; Pseudomonadati; Pseudomonadota; Gammaproteobacteria; Enterobacterales; Enterobacteriaceae.
GGUUAAGCGACUAAGCGUACACGGUGGAUGCCCUGGCAGUCAGAGGCGAUGAAGGGCGUGCUAAUCUGCGAUAAGCGCCGGUAAGGUGAUAUGAACCGUUAUAACCGGCGAUACCCGAAUGGGGAAACCCAGUGUGAUUCGUCACACUAUCAUUAACUGAAUCCAUAGGUUAAUGAGGCGAACCGGGGGAACUGAAACAUCUAAGUACCCCGAGGAAAAGAAAUCAACCGAGAUUCCCCCAGUAGCGGCGAGCGAACGGGGAGGAGCCCAGAGCCUGAAUCAGCAUGUGUGUUAGUGGAAGCGUCUGGAAAGGCGCGCGAUACAGGGUGACAGCCCCGUACACAAAAGCGCAUAUGCUGUGAGCUCGAUGAGUAGGGCGGGACACGUGGUAUCCUGUCUGAAUAUGGGGGGACCAUCCUCCAAGGCUAAAUACUCCUGACUGACCGAUAGUGAACCAGUACCGUGAGGGAAAGGCGAAAAGAACCCCGGCGAGGGGAGUGAAAAAGAACCUGAAACCGUGUACGUACAAGCAGUGGGAGCCCCACCACUAAGCCAGUGGUGAACUCCACAUACGCAUCCUUUGCUGAGGAGACGGUUAACGGAGCGAAAGCGACGUUCAACCUCAAAAGAAGCAGAGGGGGCUUAGUGGUGGGGUGACUGCGUACCUUUUGUAUAAUGGGUCAGCGACUUAUAUUCUGUAGCAAGGUUAACUGUAUAGGGGAGCCGGAGGGAAACCGAGUCUUAACCGGGCGUUAAGUUGCAGGGUAUAGACCCGAAACCCGGUGAUCUAGCCAUGGGCAGGUUGAAGGUUGGGUAACACUAACUGGAGGACCGAACCGACUAAUGUUGAAAAAUUAGCGGAUGACCUGUGGCUGGGGGUGAAAGGCCAAUCAAACCGGGAGAUAGCUGGUUCUC